RNAcentral lists this transfer RNA (84 nucleotides) under Klebsiella oxytoca. Its description in RNAcentral is "tRNA-Leu". It matches the Rfam family "tRNA". Rfam says of the family: Transfer RNA (tRNA) molecules are approximately 80 nucleotides in length. Their secondary structure includes four short double-helical elements and three loops (D, anti-codon, and T loops). Lineage: Bacteria; Pseudomonadati; Pseudomonadota; Gammaproteobacteria; Enterobacterales; Enterobacteriaceae. The record is from RNAcentral.
GCCGGAGUGGCGGAAUUGGCAGACGCGCACGGUUCAGGUCCGUGUGGUAGCAAUACCUUGUGGGUUCGACUCCCAUCUUCUGCA